This 441-nucleotide ribosomal RNA is filed under the name uncultured bacterium. RNAcentral describes it as "partial 16S ribosomal RNA". It matches the Rfam family "Bacterial small subunit ribosomal RNA", at positions 338 to 795 of the family's 1533-position model. The record is from RNAcentral.
CCUACGGGUGGCAGCAGUGGGGAAUAUUGCACAAUGGGGGGAACCCUGAUGCAGCGACGCCGCGUGAGCGAGGAAGUAUUUCGGUAUGUAAAGCUCUAUCAGCAGGGACGAAAAAGGACGGUACCUGACUAAGAAGCCCCGGCUAACUACGUGCCAGCAGCCGCGGUAAUACGUAGGGGGCAAGCGUUAUCCGGAUUUACUGGGUGUAAAGGGAGCGUAGACGGCAAGGCAAGCCAGAAGUGAAAGGGCAGGGCUCAACCCUGUACAUGCUUUUGGAACUGUGGUGCUAGAGUGCAGGAGAGGUAAGUGGAAUUCCUAGUGUAGCGGUGAAAUGCGUAGAUAUCACGCAGAACUCCGAUUGCGAAGGCAGCAUACCGGCGCUCAACUGACGCUGAGGCACGAAAGCGUGGGGAUCGAACAGGAUUAGAUACCCGAGUAGUC